GACGUGGUGGCCCCCUUGCGGUUUCCUUUCGCCGUUUCCGAACCGAGGAAUUGCUACUCGCCUUUGGCUUGGCGGUCUCUGUGCUCGGGGGUCCGAAAACUGCUGGAAGGCCCCCGGUCUCUGGAGGGGAGCAGGCGGUAGCGAGUUUAGUGACGUGGAGCAGGCGCAGAACAGUCGGAGAUACAGUCUCGCUGUGAUGCCCAGGCUGGAGUGCAAUGGCGUGAUUUUGGCUCACUGUAACCUCUCCCACCCAGGUUCAAGUGAUUCUCCUGCCUCAGCCUCCCGAGCAGCUGGGAUUACAGGUGCCUGCUACCACACCCGGAAUCCUGGGCAUUCCCUUGCCCCGGAAACGCCGUGUCCAGGCCGACCUAAGCCAGGAGCCGCAGGGGCGGGAAGCCGGGGGCAGGGCCGGGCCUGGGACGCCGCCUCAGGAGCCGCGCGGACUCGGGAACCUCGGGCGGGGCCGGCGUGAGUGCGCCCGGCACCUCCGGCUGCUACGGUGGCGACCGCGAACUGAUGCCGUGGAAAACACCCUUAGAACAUGGCUUUUGGGGGAGGUGAAUAGGGGAGAGUCCCCAAACGACACCUCGCCGCGCACCGGUCCUUGGUGCAGUUUGUAAAUGUCCCUCCUGUGUCCCAAAACGAAAACACUCCUAUAUUUUCUAGCGCCUUCCAGAAUGGGGCAGCGGAAACUAGUGUUGGGACAAAGGAGGCGAGCGGGGCCUUUUCGGGGCUCACAGAGGACCCCUCGGAGGCGCGGCCGCCGGGGAGAGCGCGACAGCACCCCGCCCCCCGCCAGCCGGGCGGGGGCCGCUCCCGAGGUGACAGGA
RNAcentral lists this small RNA (830 nucleotides) under Pan troglodytes (chimpanzee). RNAcentral's name for it is "processed transcript". The record is from RNAcentral. Lineage: Eukaryota; Metazoa; Chordata; Mammalia; Primates; Hominidae.